Molecule: ribosomal RNA, 236 nt
Filed under: uncultured Candidatus Saccharibacteria bacterium
Lineage: Bacteria; Candidatus Saccharimonadota
Description: partial 16S ribosomal RNA
Rfam family: Bacterial small subunit ribosomal RNA
Source: RNAcentral
UAAGCAGACAGUGAAAUCGUGUGGGCUCAACCAUACACACAUUGCCUGAACUGCUCAGCUAGAAGAUGAGAGAGGUCGCUAGAAUUCCUAGUGUAGGAGUGAAAUCCGUAGAUAUUAGGAGGAAUACCGAUGGCGUAGGCAGGCGACUGGCUCAUUCUUGACACUAAGGCACGAAAGCGUGGGAGCGAACGGGAUUAGAUACCCCGGUAGUCCACGCCGUAAACUAUGGGAUGCUA